RNAcentral lists this transfer RNA (64 nucleotides) under Mendozana platypleura. RNAcentral describes it as "tRNA-Pro". It matches the Rfam family "tRNA". From Rfam's summary of the family: Transfer RNA (tRNA) molecules are approximately 80 nucleotides in length. Their secondary structure includes four short double-helical elements and three loops (D, anti-codon, and T loops). Further hydrogen bonds mediate the characteristic L-shaped molecular structure. tRNAs have two regions of fundamental functional importance: the anti-codon, which is responsible for specific mRNA codon recognition, and the 3' end, to which the tRNAs corresponding amino acid is attached (by aminoacyl-tRNA synthetases). tRNAs cope with the degeneracy of the genetic code in two manners: having more than one tRNA (with a specific anti-codon) for a particular amino acid; and 'wobble' base-pairing, i.e. permitting non-standard base-pairing at the 3rd anti-codon position. The record is from RNAcentral. Lineage: Eukaryota; Metazoa; Arthropoda; Insecta; Hemiptera; Cicadidae.
CAGAAGAUAGUUUAAUUAAAGCAUAAACUUUGGAAGUUUAAGAUAGAUAAAAUUCUUCUUCUGA